Molecule: ribosomal RNA, 561 nt
Filed under: uncultured bacterium
Lineage: Bacteria
Description: bacterial SSU rRNA
Rfam family: Bacterial small subunit ribosomal RNA
Source: RNAcentral
CCUACGGGAGGCAGCAGUAGGGAAUCUUGCGCAAUGGGCGAAAGCCUGACGCAGCCAUGCCGCGUGAAUGAUGAAGGUCUUAGGAUUGUAAAAUUCUUUCACCGGGGAAGAUAAUGACGGUACCCGGAGAAGAAGCCCCGGCUAACUUCGUGCCAGCAGCCGCGGUAAUACGAAGGGGGGCUAGCGUUGCUCGGAAUUACUGGGCGUAAAGGGCGCGUAGGCGGAUAGUUUAGUCAGAGGUGAAAGCCCAGGGCUCAACCUUGGAAUUGCCUUUGAUACUGGCUAUCUUGAGUUCGGGAGAGGUGAGUGGAAUGCCGAGUGUAGAGGUGAAAUUCGUAGAUAUUCGGCGGAACACCAGUGGCGAAGGCGACUCACUGGCCCGAUACUGACGCUGAGGCGCGAAAGCGUGGGGAGCAAACAGGAUUAGAUACCCUGGUAGUCCACGCUGUAAACGAUGAGUGCUAGUUGUCGGCAUGCAUGCAUGUCGGUGACGCAGCUAACGCAUUAAGCACUCCGCCUGGGGAGUACGGUCGCAAGAUUAAAACUCAAAGGAAUUGACGG